Molecule: long non-coding RNA, 2735 nt
Organism: Pan troglodytes (chimpanzee)
Lineage: Eukaryota; Metazoa; Chordata; Mammalia; Primates; Hominidae
Exons: 3
Source: RefSeq, a predicted model, not a curated record
AUCACACUGACUCUAGAAAUGUGGUUCUUUAUUGGGGCGAUUUUGCCCUCCCCCGGGGACAUCUGACAAGGUCUGGAGACAUUUUGAUUGUGGGUAGGGGGAGGGACACUCUGCUACAGGCAUCUAGUUGGCAGAGCCCGGAGAUACUGCUACACACCCUACACUGUGCAGAACAGCCCCUACGGCCAGGAAUUAUCAGGCCCAAACAAAAUACCAAGUUAGUUUUUAAUUUCAAAGUUUACGUGUAACAUUAUUUUUUAGAUAUAAAAAAUAUUCACACAUUAAUUUGAUCACAAGAAAUUUUAAAGAAAUUUAAACAUUUUCAGAAAAGGCUACUUCAAGGUGUCAUGACAGCUUUGGACCAAACAUUAAUGUUCUAUAUGACUUUGGGCAAGUCAGUCAUGUUUAUUAGACUUAAUAACCCAGGUAACGUUAGCUGUUGGAGGGUUUUUUAAAAAACGUUUUAUUUUGAAAAAACUUCAAACUUACAGGAAAAAUGGCAAGAAUACUACAAAGACCUAUUUAUUCAGAUACACCAGUUGUCACAAUUUUGCCAUAUUAACUUUAUCUAUUGAUCAAUUUCUCUUUCAGUCUAUUGACCUAUCUAUCUUGAACUAUUUGGGAUUAAGUUGUAGACAUCAGAUCCCCUUACCCUUAAACACUUUACCACGUCUUCCUAAGAAUAAGACCAUUACUCCACACAGUACACUUAUCUAAAUCAGGAGACAGCAUUGUUAUAAUACUGUUACCAAGUGGCAAGCUGGUGCACUGUCCAGACGGGGAGAGAGAGAGAGAGGACCUGAUUUGUAACACUUGCCAGUUCCCAUGUGUGAUGGUUUACUUUGGUUCAUAACUACCAUUGUCCUUGUUACAGUCUUUUAUUAAAAUGUGGGGUGUGUUAGGCCGCAAGGGCAGGCCUCAAGAAACAGAAUCUCUCUCCUGCCCUCUUUUCACCUGCCCCAAGGCAGGAUUCCAUCUUCUCCCACCUUUCCAACUGUGGGUCUUAAGACUUUUCAGAGAGGGUCCUGCCAUACACACUGGGGGAAGGAAUGCUGACGUCAUGAAGCUUCCAUGAAAACUCAAGAGGACUGAGUUCAGAGAGCUUCCGGAUAGCUGAAAGCAUGGAGGUUCCUGGUUCCUGGAGGGUGGCGCCCCAGGCAUGGAAGCUCUGAGCCCCUUCCUCCGCACCUCAUCUCUUCAUCUGUAUCCUUUGUAAUAUCCUUUAUUAUAAAACAGCAAAUGUGUUUCCCUGAGUUCCGUGAGCCACUCCAGCAAAUCAAUCAAACCCAAAGAGGGGGUCAUGGGAACCCCAACUUGAAGCUCAAUCGGAAUUUCCCAAGGCCCAGAUUUGCAACUGAUAUCUGGGGGUGAGGGCGGUCUUGGGGUCUGAGCCCUCAAUCUGUGGGAUCUGAUGCUACCUCCAGAUAGAUAGUGAAGGAACUGGGUGGAGGUCCUGGCUUGUGUCUGCCUCUUGGUGGUGGGGAGAAGUUCCCACACAUAUGGUCACAGGAGUCUUCUGUGUUGAUGAUUGCUGUUGUGGUGUGAGAGCAGAGGAAAAACACAGUUUGAGAGAGUUUUCCCAAAAUACCAUGCGCUUGCUCUGGAGAAGCCAGAGGUCAUGUCGUGAGGAUACUCAAGUUGCCAUUUGGAGAGGUGCACAUGGUGAAGAAAUGAGGCCUUCUGCCAAUGACCAUGAAUUCUUUGGCUAUUCUUAGGCCUUUUCUCAUCCAGAUAAGAUACUGAAUCAGCUUAUCAAGGGCCAACUUAUUGAAUUGUUAUUGAAUUUGAGAUGAAUCAAUAAAGAGAAAGGAGAGCCAUGAAAUUAGAAAAACUACCCUAAUUAAGUCUUCCCUUCUAAAAGUCAGGAAAACUAGCAUUACAUGAAAAUGAGUACCAAAAAAACUAAGGUCAAAUCCCAUACAAAGUCAUUAUGAAGAAAAAAAGAGAAUAAAAAAUAAUUUCUUUAGAAAAUAAAUUAUGACAGAAAGCCAUGGCUUCAAAACAGAUGAAAACUAAAAUAUUUCAAAAUAAGUUAAUAAACAUCUAAAAUGACAUUAGAUAUGAAAAAAUGACGUGUCAGAUUUAGAAAUAUACAGAAAGGAGAUGACAAACUCAGAAAAGAAGUAAAAAUUUUAAAAACAUUUCAGAAAUGAAGAGAGAAAGAAACACGAGCAAAUAAACAGAACUGAUAAUGCAUUAAAAGAAAAGAUGAAAAAAUAUGAGGCUAUAAAAGAGACGUGUGGUACAGGAUAACGGUCACCCAAAGAUGUCCCCAUCCUAAUCUCCAGAACCUGUGCCUGUGUCACCUGACAUGGCAAAGUGACAGCAAAUGUGACUACCUUAUGGAUCUCAAGAGAGAAGCCUGAUCCUGGAUCAUCUGGCUGAGUCCAGCCUAAUCGCAUGUGUCCUUAACAGUGGAGAGUCGACUGCAGUGGUAUGAAGGAAAUGCAGCUAUGGAAGAAACGGUCUGAGAAAUGGUACAUUGCUGGCUUUGUGGAUGGAGGAAAGUGGUCAUGAGCCAAGGGAUGUGUACUACCUCUAGAAGCUGGAAAAGGGAAGAAAACAGAUUUGCCCUAAAGCCUCCAGAAUGAAAUCCAGACCUACUGACACCCUGGUUUUAGCUCAGUGAGACCCAUGGUGGGCUUCUGAAGGCAAAAUUGUAAGAUAAUAAAUGUGUUAAGACACUAAAUUUAUGGUGAUAUGCUAUGGCAGUGGUAGAAAAUUAGUACAAGAUG